Molecule: transfer RNA, 73 nt
Filed under: Camelus bactrianus (Bactrian camel)
Lineage: Eukaryota; Metazoa; Chordata; Mammalia; Artiodactyla; Camelidae
Also listed under: 1 other name
Rfam family: tRNA
About the family: Transfer RNA (tRNA) molecules are approximately 80 nucleotides in length. Their secondary structure includes four short double-helical elements and three loops (D, anti-codon, and T loops).
Source: Rfam by way of RNAcentral
GAGGGGAUAGCUCAAGUGGGAGAGUGCAUGCUUAGCAUGCACGAGGUCCUGGGUUCAAUCCCCAGUACCUCCA